GGGUGUAGCUCAGUUGGUUAGAGUACUUGCUUGACAUGCAAGGGGUCGAUGGUUCAAAUCCAUUCAUCCUC
RNAcentral lists this transfer RNA (71 nucleotides) under human gut metagenome. It matches the Rfam family "tRNA". Rfam says of the family: Transfer RNA (tRNA) molecules are approximately 80 nucleotides in length. RNAcentral also lists the same sequence under 1 other name. The record is from RNAcentral.